UUCAUUAGUUUAUUCUUAAUUAUGAAAUCAGUAUAAAUAAUUUUUUUGUUAUCUGUUAACAUAAUUAUACGCAUAAUGAUAAUAAGAAUAGGGAUAUCGGUAAUAAUAUUUACAGAAUAAUAAUAAUUAUAUUAAUAUUAGUAAUAAAACUAAGCGCUAGAAUGUAUCAAUAUAACUACAGCAGGUAAAAAUAAAAUAUAUCUUGAGAAAAAGUGGCCAACGAAUGUACGUACUGUAAAAGUUUGUAUAAAUUAAUGUGUCGGCAUAAUUUAAUGUUUCAACGCGUUGUAUGCUAUAGUGGAGAGAAAUUGGGAACAACGAGGGCUCCGGCGACUAUUGCUGCAACUUUCACGCUAGAUGAUGCGCAUGAACUUUUUAUAUAUUACUUUUAUUAAAUAAACAAUAGUCUGUUUCUCUGAACAUUACAUAUACAUAUUUUUACACCAAACAUUUUACACCAACAUAUUUUUACAUUGAAUUAUUUCAAUGCUUUCUCAUUACAACGAUGAUACUGAUAAUAUUCUUUCUACUUUCCAGUUUCCGAACGACGUCGCAACUAUGCCCGAAGCUGAGGAAUCGAUUGUUGUACGCUACUAUAUAAAGGCAAUAAUCUCGAACGACGGGCGGGUCUCCUUCUUUCGAUAGAGAAAAAUCUCUGAUUUUAAAAGAAUGCAGGGAUCUCCAAGAUGUCCAACUUUCGUUAUCAGCUACAUCGCAUCUUCCUACAUUCCUUUCUUUUCUUUAUAAUCUUCUUUUCCACGUUAAAUCGUCGAGCGAUGGAAUCAGUGUUGUUGACUUUUCUUCCAAACGUGAUCCAUUACGAUAGCUGUGGGAUGAGAGAUUUCAAGAGAUGUCUUAUUGAUUCAAUCGUGCAGAAUCGAGCUGGAUUUUGGUACAAAUGGAAAAUACGAUUAAUUGGAAUAUAAAUUAUUUGGAUUAAAAUGAGCUGUUGAAAACAGCGAUACCAAGCACGAAUGAGAACUAUUCAAGGGAAUAUCCCUACCACAAGGUUACAACGACGUCUCGUCGGCUGGUCCUCUUAUAUCUCUACAUUUUUCGCUGGUUUGUAAUCCUAUGUAAAACGUUGGACUAUAUCUAUUAUAUCAUCUAGUAAUGUCCAUUUUAUUCUGUUCAAUAUAAUGCGGCACGGUAUAACCAUACAUGUAUCCUCUAAAUAAAAUUGCAAAUAUUCAUUAUAAAAAUGGCAUACCUACAUUGUGAAGUAGACAAAACCAUUUAAAACGAAACUGACUAUACAGUGUAGGAGACAAAACUAUUUGAAAAGUAAACAGAACCGUCUGAAAAUAUCUAUACUUCUCUAAUGAAGUAAUCAAAACCAUCGGAGAAUAAUUCUAUUAUUUAGUAAUGCAAAUGAAACCGUAGAAAAGCAUAAAAGAUUAGUUAGAAAGAAACCCAGUCGCAACACCGAACGAACAGAUGCAACCCAUCCUCGAACAGGUGUAGAAUAGACGAAAUAUUGUAGAAAUAUGGUAAAUAUUGGAGGCUACGAUACUUACUAGAUGUAGAUUCAUAUAAAUAUUCAUUGCUAUUUUUGAAAUAAAAAGCGAAAAGGAAAGAACAGGUAUAUUUCACGUUUAGAUCCGAUCUUGAAGAGCCACUCUACUAAGGUACGACAAUAAUAAAAAGGUGAGGCUUCGAUAAGUAAAUAAGUUUAUAUUUACAGCGAUUAUCGUUCACCUUAUUUUCGCAACAAGUUACAUAAUAAAAGUGUCGCUAACUUCUAGUUUCGAUAUAUUUGCGCAGGAUGAGUAAAAUGUAUAGUUUUUCCCAUUGAUUUAAUCAAUAAAUUUUUUCAUUUAUAUUCGUGAUUCCCCUGCGUGAAUAUUAAAUAUUACAUUUAUAUAUACUAUAAAUCACGUUUUUUCUCUUCCCAUCGGUUCACGUGUUUAUGUACUUAUAUAUCGCAAACACAAAUCUAUAAGACACACGUAGUUAUAGUUUUCUUUAAACAACGUUAUGCAUUUAUUAUUACACGAGCAUGUAUGCUCUUGCCUCUUACAUUCGUAAUUCAUUAUUUUCACUUUGUUAUCAUAAUAUAAAAAUCACAGCAUACAAGAAGCCUAAUACAACUUAUCGAUUUAUCUUCAUGGAGUACGGUCACAAAUUUGCACGAACGUUCACUAUAUUUUUCAGAUUUUCAAUUUUAUGUUUUUGUUUUGUGCAAAAGUACUACAAUAAUCAUGAAAAGCGGCUCUCUCUCUCUCUCUCUCUCUCUCUCUCUCUCUCUCUCUCUCUCUCUCUCUCUCUCUCUCU
This is a long non-coding RNA of Vespa crabro (European hornet), 2274 nucleotides long. RefSeq lists it as uncharacterized. The transcript has 2 exons. The record is from RefSeq and is a predicted model, not a curated record. Lineage: Eukaryota; Metazoa; Arthropoda; Insecta; Hymenoptera; Vespidae.